This 83-nucleotide microRNA precursor is filed under the name Heliconius melpomene (postman butterfly). RNAcentral's name for it is "mir-3338 microRNA precursor family". It matches the Rfam family "mir-3338 microRNA precursor family". Lineage: Eukaryota; Metazoa; Arthropoda; Insecta; Lepidoptera; Nymphalidae. The record is from Rfam by way of RNAcentral.
AGAAUGUUUCAUAGCAAACACAGUAGUGUACAAUGCUAAGUUGACAUACGCAUGUACUUACUUUGUUUGUUCUGGAAUCUUCU